Long non-coding RNA from Callithrix jacchus (white-tufted-ear marmoset), 14865 nucleotides. RefSeq lists it as uncharacterized. The record is from RefSeq and is a predicted model, not a curated record. Lineage: Eukaryota; Metazoa; Chordata; Mammalia; Primates; Cebidae.
AGGGACGGUCCCCUCAUAAUGAGGAUGCCACCUGUCCACAAAAAAAAAAAAAAAAAAAAGCCGCAAAUCAGGCUGCCUUUGACACAAGUGAAGACCCUCUAUUGUGCACAUCUCAGUAACAUCCAACCAGAUUCUUCUCAAACCUGUGCUGUGCCAAUUACUUUUUUUAAGAGACAGGUUCUUACUUUAUCACCCAAGCUGGUGUGCAGUGGUAUGAUCAUAGCUCGCUGUAACCUCAAACUCCUUUUUUUUUUUUUUUCUUUUUGAGAUGGAGUCUCUGUCUCACAGGCUGGAGUGCAGUGGCUCAAUCUUGGCUCACUGCAACCUCUGCCUCCUGGGUUCAAUCUUGGCUCACUGCAACCUCUGCCUUCCACCUCAGCCUCCCCAGUAGCUGGGAUUACGGGCGCCUGCCACCACACCUGGCUAAUUUUUUGUAUUUUUAGUACAGAUGGGGUUUCACCAUGUUGGCGUGAGCAACCCACCUUGGCCUCAGCCCAGCCUGUAACCUCAAACUCCUAGGCUCAUGAAAAUUUCCCAUCAUAGCCUACCAAAAAGCUAAGACUACAAGUACAUGUCACUACACUUGGCUAUUUCUUUUCCAAUUCAUUUUCUUAGAGACAGGUUCUCAAUAUGUUGCCCAGGCUGGUUGGUCUCAAGCGAUCCUCCACCUUGGCCUCCCAAAGUGUUGGGAUUACAGGCAUGAGACACCAUGCCAGGCAUGACUUUUUCCAGGUAGCUAAUACUUUCAUAUGUGCAACAUUGAAAGGACAUACAAAGGCUGGACUUAGUGGCUCACACCUGUAAUCCCAGCACUUUGGGAGGCUGAGGCAGGUGGAUCAUCUGAGGUCAGGAGUUCGAGACCAGCCUGGCCAACAUGGUGAAACCCUGUCUAUACUAAAAAUACAAAAAUUAGCUGUGCAUGGUAGUGUAUGCCUGUAGUCCCAGCUGCUGGAAGGCUGAGGCAGGAGAAUUGCUUGAACCCGGGAAGCGAAGAUUGCAGUGAGCCCAGACUGCACCAUUGCACUCCAACCUGGGCGACAGAAAGACUGUCUCAAAAAAGAAAGAAAAAGGCAUACAAGCAAGUUACAGUGAAAUGUAGUUAUCUGUGACUGUUGUCCAUCCAGCUCCCCUUUCCAGAAGCACCGUCCACCGUCCAUUGUUUCUUAGGUUUAUUGAUUAUAUUGUUUGCAACAGUGCUGAACUUGUGUUUAUCCCUAUCCAUUUCAGCUGGUCAGUUUUCCUCCUGGGCCCCUGAGGUUGGGGUCUUUUGUGUUUGGGAUCUGUGGUCCUUCAGCCCUCACAUUGGCCAUAUUUUCCAGAUAUAUUGCCACUGGAUGGGCUGGGCUCAGUGGCUCACACCUGUAAUCCCAGCACUUUGUCAGGCCAAGGCAGACAGAUUGCUUGAACUCAGAAGUUCAAGACUAGCCUGAGGAACAUGGUGAAAACACAUCUCUACAAAAAAUAUGGCCAGGCGUGGUGGCUCACACCUGUAAUCCAAGCACUUUGGAGGCCAAGGCGGGCAAAUCACCGGAGGGCGGAAGUUCAAGACCAGCCUGACCAAUAUGGUGAAACCCCGUCUCUAAAAAAAAAAAAAAAUUGGGCCAGGCGAGGUGGCUCCUGCCUGUAAUCCCAGCACUUUGGAAGGCCAAGGCAGGCGGAUCAUGAAGUCAGAAGUUUGAGACCAGCCUGGCCAAUAUGGUGAAACCCCGUCUCUAUUAAAAAUACAAAAAUUAGCCAGGCAUGGUGGUGCUUGCCUGUAGUCCCAGCUACUCGAGAGGCUGACGCAGGAGAAUUGCUUUAGCCUGGGAGAGGGCGGUUGCAGUGAGCUGAGAUCAUGCCACUAUAGUCCAGCCUGGGUUACAGAGCGAGACCCCGUCUCAAAAAAACAAAAACAAAAAUUAGCAGGGCAUGGUGGUGUGCACCUGUAGUCCUAGCAACUCAGGAGGCUGAGGUGGGAGGAUGGCUCAAGCCAGCAGGUGGAGGUUGCAGUGAGCAGAGAUUACAUUAUGCCACUGCACUCCAGCCUGGGUGGCAGAGUCAGACCCUGUCUCAAAAUAUACACAUACAUAUAUGUCAUGUUGAUUGCACUUUGGUAAGUCUGCCUCUGUGUACACAGACUCCAUCCCAUGACUGGACUCCCAUCUGGCCAGCAUGUUCUGUUCACAGGGAGGAAACAGAAUCUGGAGCACGUGGCACUUUUGUUCUUCUUGAUGACACUAGGUUUCAAAAUCUUUUGAGAAAUAACUUUCUUAAAAGGCUUUCCCUCUAGAGAUUGAGAUUUGGUGGUGCCAGGAUGAAUCCUGGGCACCUCUUGGGAUUUUUUUUUUUUUUUUUUUGAGACAGAGUCUCACUGUGUUGCCCUGGCUGGAGUGGAGUGGUGAGAUCUUGGCUCACUGAAACUGCCACCUCCCAGGUUCAAGUGAUUCUUCUGCCUCAGCCUCCUGAAUAGCUGGGAUUACAGGCACAUGCCACCAUGCCUGGCUAAUUUUUGUAUUUUUAGUAUACAAAAUUUUAUCAUAUUGGCCAGGCUGGUCUCAAACUCCUGCCCUCAUGAUCUGCCCGCCUCGGCCUCCCAAAGUGGACUUUUUUUUUUUUAAGAGUCAGGGUUCUUAAAAAAACCACUGUCACCCAGGGUAGAGUGCAGUGGAACAAUCAUAGUUCACUUCAGCUUCGAACUCCUGGACUCAAGUGAUCCUCCCGCCUCAGCCUCUUGAGUAGCUGGGACUACAGGCAGGUGCUCACCAUGCCCAGCUAAUUUUUAGUUUCUGGGCUGUCCAGGACACAGGCUGUCCCUAUGUCGCCCAGGCUGUUCUUGAACUGCUGGGAUCAAGCGAUUGUCCCACCUUGGCUUCACAAAGUGCUGGUAUUACAGGUGUGAGCCACAAGUCCGGCAGUCUCUUGUGACUUUAAAACCUAACUGGUGCCUGUGCUGUGCACCUGGAUUGAAAGCGCUGUUUCAGUGUCUCUGUUUUGCAAGUGAAGAAACUGAGGCUCAGAGAAGGGAAGACGGUUGCACCCACCUCACUAGACUUUAGACUUUUUUUUUUUUUUUGAGACGGAGUUUUGCUCUUGUUACCCAGGCUGGAGUGCAAUGGCGCGAUCUCAGCUCACCGCAACCUCUGCCUCCUGGGUUCAAGCAAUUCUCCUGCCUCAGCCUCCCAAGUAGCUGGGACUACAGGCGUGCAUCACUGUGCCCAGCUAAUUUUUGUGUUUUUAAUAGAGACGAGGUUUCACCAUGUUGAUCAGGAUGGUCUCGAUCUCUUGACCUCGUGAUCCACCUGCCUCGGCCUCCCAAAGUGCUGGGAUUAUAGGCAUGAGCCACCAUGCCCGGCCUAGACUCUUUUUUUUUUUUUUUGAGACAAAGUCUUGCUCUGUUGCCUAGGCUGUAGUACAGUGGUGCAAUCUCAGCUUCUGCAACCUCCGUCUCCUAGAUUCAAGCAAUUUUCCUGUCCUAGCCUCCUGAGUAUCUGGGGUUACAGGGGCCUGCCACCAUGCUUGGUUAAUUUUUGUAUUUUCAAGUAGAGAUGGGGUUUCACCAUGUUGGUCAGGCUGGUCUUGAACUCGUGACCUCAAGUGAUCCACCUUCCUUAGCCUUCCAAAGUGCUGGGAUUACAGGUGUGAGCCACCACACCCAGCCUCACUGGGCUUUUCAUCCUGCUGUUCUCAGGGAGUUCAAGCUCCCAGUGACCAGUGACUGCACCUCUCAAAUCUAAAAUUCAGAUGAUUGUGUCCAGCGUGUAAGGGAAACCAGCCACAUGGAGUAGAGGUCAAGAGGACCCAGGCUGAGUUGCUUGUUGACACCCACACAAAAGUACGGUUGUAUGUACCCUCAACAGACAGCCUGAGGCUGGUUCACCCUGAGGCAGAGGACAUCUGGUGCCUGCAUGCGUACCUCCACAUGGAUGUGGAUGUGUUCACAGGCCCAGUACUGCAAACACUGCGUACCAGGUAAGCACGCACAGGACUCCUGCUUUCUUUCCCUGUGCUCUCUCUUUAAUAAAGGAGCAUAUUUCUUUCUUUCUUUUUUUUUUUUUUUUGUGACAGAGUCUCACUCUGUCACUCAGGCUGGAAUGCAAUGGCACAAUCUUGGCUCACUGCAACCUCUGCCUCUUGGUUAAAGUGAUUCUCCUGCCUCAGUCUCCUGAGUAGCAGGGAUUACAGGUACCCACCAUCACAUCCAGCUAAUUUUUUGUAUUUUUAGUAGAGACGAGGUUUCUCCAGGUUGGCCAGGCUGGUCUCAAACUCCUGACCUCAGGAGAUCUGCUCACCUCGGCCUCCCAAAGUGCUGGGAUUACAGGUGUGAACCACCGCGCCGGCUCAAGGAGUACAUUUCUUUUAUCAUCUUUUCCCCAGUAAAUGGAGAGAACGCUUGUCAAUCUCCCUUUUUGACGUGUGCAGAUUCCUCCCUCUGGCUGUUCUGCUCACCAUCUUUGGGCUUCAGUGGUUUCUUUGUGGUUCUUCUUAGGCGCUGGCUGCUUCUCCCGGUGUGCUGGUGGGGGAAGGCUGGGCCUUCCCUGCUGGUUCUCAUGUUCUUAUCCCUUAGCCUUGCAUAUGUUUGGCCCUUUCAGCCACUUGGCUCUUUAUCUUGUCUCUGAGGAUUGCACUGUGUCUCUGAAAGGAAGAGACUGUUACUUCAUCCUGCACUGUCCUGUGCUCCCCCAACAGCUGCUGGUCUUAUGCCAGGCUACUGAUGGGCACUCAGUAAAUGGAGAAUAAAGGAAGAAAUCCAUGUUCAGUGGUGAUUCAGCUCCUUAUUCCCUUUCCACAGUGCUCAGCAGCCCCCUGCCAUCCCAUGCCUGGGAAGUUGUUCUUGCUGCUUUUAAUGUUACCAUUUCCUCCCUGAAAAUCACUCCCAAUGCUCCUACUCCAUCCCUUUGGAUCCUCAGAAGCCCUCUUCCCACUGAAAUCUACUUUCUUAAAUUAUUCUUUUUCUUUUGGCUAGCUUCCCUCCCUUUCUCUGAAGUAGCUGGGGGACUUUUGCCAAGGCUAUCAUCCCACUUAAAAUGUCAGCAAAUAAGGCCGGGCACAGUGGCCCACGCCUGUAAUCACAACACUUUGGGAGGCUGAGGCAGGUGGAUCACUUGAGGUCAAGAGUUCAAGACUAACCUGGCCAACAUGGUGAAACCCCAUUUCAAUUAAAAAUGCAGAAAAUUAGGUCAGUGUGGUAGCUGUUGCCUGUAGUCCCAGCUACUUGGGAGGCUGAGGCAGGAGAAUCGCUUCAACCCGGGAGGUGGAGGUUGCAGUGAGCCACUGCACUCCAGCCUAGGCAACAGAGCAAGACUCUGUCUCAAACAAACAAAUCCUCCAAAACAGCAUCAGCAGAUUCAUCCAUAAGCACUCAAGAUGGAAGCCUCCUUAAAGACCACAUCUCCGCCGCUUCCUGACAGGCCCUGGUUCUACCUUGCACACUACUAGUUGGUUCUUUCUACUACUGAGUCAAGAAUCAUGUCUGCUCAGAGCUGUCCCCAGAGGCUCCUGGUUCCUGUCUUGUGGCCGUAUAGCAAAUCUGUACCAUCUCUUCCUUGCAGCCUCCCAGCCAGGGUAGAUGGGUCCUGCCCUGCUCAGAGGAGGGAACACAAGCCUUGGGGUCAGACUCAGCUAAGUUCAAAGCCGUGCUUCUCCAGUGGUGUUGCUUUUUAAGUAUGGCCUUCUAUUUUGCCUGCUUCCUCAUCUGUAAAGCAGGGUUCCUGUUACCUACUUUGUUGGGUCAUCCAGAGAAUGCAAUAAAAGGGCAUAAAGGCUUAACAUUAGGCCUUCUACAAAACAGUCUCUAUUCCUAGUGGUUGUUUAUUCUCAUCACCAUCAAGCUCAGUAUUCAACAGACCCUGUGCUAGUGAGUGCAAGGUGUGGAAAAAGAAUGAGAAAUACAGAGCAGCUUCUGCCGGCAGUGUUGCUGGACAGAGCUGCAGUCAGAAUGAAGGUGAGCCACAAAUGAGGUGGCAGAGACUGAACAGAAGCGUUAGCUGUGUGGCAUGAACAGCAGGUGCCCACGUGAUCAGGAAGGAGAUGAGCCCAGUGAAGGAUGAGUUCAGCUCUCCCACAUGGUGGGGAGGCCCACAUCUCCAUCUCUGGCCCAGAUCAGUCUCCUGAGCUCUACCCAGACCCCUAUAUUCCAUUUCCAGUUGGAAUAGCUCUAAGUCCUGUCCAAAUCUCCUGUAGGGAUGCUGACACAGGGCAGUCAGUCUGUCCUUGACUCUCUUUUAACUGUUUUUCUUUCUUUCUUUUCUUUUUUUUUUUUGAGACAGAGUUUCAUUCUUGUUGCCCAGGCUGGAGUAAAAUGGCUCAUUGCAACCUCCAUCACCCGGGUUCAAGUGAUUCUACUGCCUUAGCCUCCUGAGUAGCUGGGAUUAUAGGUGUGUACUACCCACCUAUUUUGUAUUUUUAGGAGAGAUGGGGUUUUACUCUGUUGGUCAGGCUGGUCUCGAACUCCUGACCUCAGGUGAUCCACCCCGCCUCAGCUUUCCAAAGUUCUGGGAUUACAGAUGUGAGCCACUGCACGUGGCCUCUUUCUUUCUUUCUUUAUUUUUUAAGAGAUGGGGUUUCACCAUAUUGGUCAGGCUGUUCUCGAACUCCUCACCGCAGGUGAUCCACCUGUCUCACUCAGCCUCUCAAAGUGCUAGGAUUACAGGUGUGCACCACUGUGCCCAGCCCCUCCCCCCCCUUUUUUUUGAGGUGGGGUCUUGCUCUGUUGCCAGGCUGGAGUGCAGUGGUGCAAUCUCGGUUCACUGCAACCUCUGCCUCCCAGGUUCAAGCGAUUCUCUUGCCUCAGCCUCCCAAAUAGCUGGGAUUACAGGCAUCUGCCACCAUGCCCAGCUAAUUUUUUCAUUUUUACUAGAGACGGGGUUUCACCAUGUUGGCCAGGGUGGUCUCUAUCUCCUGACCUUCUGAUCUACCCGCCUUGGCUUCCCAAAGUGCGGGGAUUGCAGGCAUGAGCCACUGUGCCAAAGCCUUUCCUUUCCCCCCACUUUUUUUUUUUGAGAUGGAGUCUCACUCUGUUGCCUGCCCAUGCUGGGGUACAGUGGCACAAUCUCAGCUCACUGCAACCUCUGCCUCCCAGGUUCAAGUGCUUCUCAUGCCUCAGCUUCCCAAGUAGCUGGGAUUACACGUGCCCACCACCAUGCCCGGCCAAUUUUUGUAUUUUUAGUAGAGACGGAGUUUCACCAUGUUGGCCUAGCUGGUCUCAAACUCCUGCCCUUAUGUGAUCUGUCUGUCUUGGCCUCCCACAGUGCUGGGAUUACAAGCAUGAGCCAUCAUGCCCGGCCUCAACUCUGUUUUCUAACCAGCUGCUAAAACUUGUUAAUGCUACCUCUGAAGUCGCUCUCAAAUCUAUUUCCCUCCAACCCUUCUACCUUUAUGAUGCCCUCAUUACAUCUUUUCCAAAUGGCUGCUGCAGCCUUCAAGCUCAUCUGCCAGUCUGCAGAGCAGGCCUUGUUUCCUCUGACAUGUUGUAGUAAGAUCUUUCUAAAAUCCAUUGUCUUACUUCUCUGCCUAAGUCCCUUUGCCAGCUCCCAUCUCUCAGGACAGAGUGUGCAAUCCUUGUUCCAGCUCACAGUAGUGAGGCUCCUCAGGGCCUGGGCUCUUCCUUCUGCUCCUGCCCCAUCACUCACCAUCCCCAUUGCCUCCAGCCACACUGAGUCCCGUGUGGUUCUCAACAUCAGCCACAUUCUCUCGAAUCUCUGCUUUUGGCACAUGCUACUUCCUAUGCCCAGAAUAGGAAUCCUUGUCAGAUGCCUUCAGGAUGCCACUCAGCUGUCAUUUCCUUUGGGACAUCUUCUUGGACACCUCUUCCUGCAGGGUGGACAUCCCUCCUGCGUGCACCUGUGAGACCUGUCAUGCUGUGUGGUGAUGGUCCAUCUCCCCUACUAGCCUUAGAGUUCCUGUGUAGAUUGGGACCCAACCUAAGUUCAUGCUGUACCUAGGACACGAACUGACACAUAGUAGGAAGUUAAUAAAAGCCAGAUGAUGUAUGGAUGGUUGGGAAGAUGGGAUCUGAGUAGGGUCCUGAAGUAUGGCCUGAGACAGACGAUAGGGUUUAGAAAUGACCUCUUCUCAGCCGAUCUGUGUGCAUUGAACAAGUGAUUUAACCCUCACUCUCACAUUAAACCAACCUUUAUUGAGGGUCUGCUGCGUGCCAGGGUGCUGGGUGCUGCAACAAUGAGUCCGGCAGCCUGAGUCCCUGUCUUCCUGGAGCUCUCAUUCAAUUGGGGUACAGAGACAUUUGCUGCAGGUAACAGUGAAUGCUAUGACUGAAGAGACAGCAGAGGCCAAUAACCAGGGUUUGGGUGGGGUGGUUGGGGAGAGUUCUUGAAGGAGGUGAUACAAAGGCCACAUCCUAAAGGAAAAGGAGCUCACUUUGGGGGUGGGAGAAGGAUGUGGGCACUGAAAGGUCAGGUGUGGCACAAGGGUGGUGAGCACGGCAGAGGGAAAGCAACUAGAAGUGAAGACAGUAAGUCAGGUGGAGCCAGAUCACGGGCCUGGUGGAUGGGGCUUGGCCUCUAUUCAGAGGGCACUGGGAGGACGACGGACUCUAUGCAAGGUGCCCUGGCUUACAUUUGGAAAUGGUGUUUGGGAGGCAGCAUGGCCAAGAGUUGCUGAUGGACUGGGAGGGGGAUGUGUGGAUGACUCCAGGUUUCUGGCUGGAGUGACAGGAUGGAUGCUGGUACCAUUACCAAGACUGGGAAAGGUCAAGGGAAAUCAGGAGUCUGGCUUUGGCCAUGUGUAGUCUGGGAUGCCUGUGAGUGUUCAAGUCGCCACGUAAGUGGUUAGAUAGGAGGCUUUAGAGUUGGGAGGGGAGGCUCUGACCUUUGGUUUCCUCCUUUGCAAAAGGAAGCAUCAGCAGAAUUGAUUUCACAGGGAGGGCUCCUCUAAGGACUGGAUGAAAUAAACCAUGUAAGGCACUCAGCAGCAGCCUGUAUGUGAAGAUGACAGCUAUUAACGUGUCAGUCCUUGGACACAGCAGGGGAAAGGAGUGGCAAAAGAAGCAGUUUAAAGAUUAGUCUGAAACCUCCUGUACAGGAGAAUCCCAGAUGAUGCAUGUAGGUAUAAUCAACUCCUCAUCCAAGUGUGAGCUGCACCAGCAACUUCCUUCCAAAGAGGACAGGAUGGAAGCAGGUGUGUGGGACUUUACAGUGAGGGGCCCAGGUCAGCAUCAUCAGGGAUGUCAUGUUGACAGCAUCUGCCCUUGACAGGCUGUGCUGAGAAGGGCAUUCACCUUUGAAGCCUUCCUCCCCACAACCUAGAACCUCCAUCCAGCCAUGAGAAGAGCAUCAGACGAUCCCCAAUUGAGGGACAUUUUGCAAAACGCCUGACCAGUAAUCCUCAGAACUGUAAAGGUCAUCAAAAAUAGAGAUCAAAAGUCUGAGAAAAUGUCAUAAACCAAAGGAGCCUAAGAAGACAGAAUGGGCCAGGGGCAUUGGCCCAUGCCUAUAAUCCUAGCACUUUGGGAGGUCAUGAGAGGAGGACUGAUAAAUGAGGCCAGGAGUUCAAGACCCCACCUCUACCAAAAAACAAAACAAAGAGCCAGGUGUGGUGAUACAUGCCUAUAGUCCCAGAUAGGAGGCUGAGGUGGGAGGAUGGCUUGAGCCCAGGAGUUUGAGGCUGCAGUGAGCUAAGAUGGCACCACUGCACUCUAGCCUGGGCAAGAGAGCAAAACCUGGUCUCUAAAAUCAACAACGAAAAUGGAGAAAGGGCAUUAGGGAAAAACUAAGGACAUAUAUAUAAACUAGGGACAUUUAUUUAUUUAUUUAUUUUGAGAUGGAGUCUUACUCUGUUGCCCAGGUUGGAGUGCAGUGGCAAGAUCUCGGCUCACUGCGACCUCCGCCUCCUGGAUUCAAGUGAUUCUCCUGUUUCAGCCUAUGUAGUAGCUGGGAUUACAGGUGCCUGCCACCAUGCCUGGCUAAUUUUUGUAUUUUUAGUAGAGAUGAGGUUUCAUCAUGUUGGUCAGGCUGGUCUCGAACUCCUGACCUCAGAUGAUCUACCCACCUAAGCCUCCCGAAGUGCUGGGAUUACAGGAAUAAACCACCAUGCCCGGCCAAAAUAGGGACUAAAUAAUAAUAAAUAAUUAUUAUUUAGUUAAUAAUCGAGCAUCGUGAUUGGUUCACUAGUUAUGACAAAUGUACAUGAAUGUAAGGGAAACUGCCAGGGUGGUAUACAUAGCCACUCUUUCUACUAUCUUUGCAACUCUUCUGUAAACCUAAAGGUAUGCUUCUUUUUUUGAGAUGGAGUUUAGCUCGUUACCCAGGCUGGAGUGCAAUGGCGCAAUCUGGGCUCACUGCAACCUCCGCCUCCUGGGUUCAGGCAAUUCUCCUGCCUCAGCCUCCUGAGUAGCUGGGAUUACAGGCACGCGCCACCAUACAGAAAAUACAGCUAAUUUUCUGUAUUUUCAGUAGAGACGGGGUUUCACCAUGUUGACCAGGAUGGUCUCGAUCUCUUGACCUUGUGAUCCACCUGCCUCGGCCUCCCAAAGUGCUGGGAUUACAGGCUUGAGCCACCGCGUCCGGCCAACCUAAAGGUAUUCUAAAAUAAAAUAGUUUACUUAAAAAUAAAACCAGUCUGGAGUUGGCAUGCAGGUUAGAGGCUCUUAAACUUUCUGCACCAAAAUGCCAUCCCUUUGCCUUUAGUCUCUGGCGGAUCUGCUCUGGUACAGCCUUAACUCCUGGUGACUGGGCAGAGCUGCUUCAAGUCAGCACCUUCCACCUGAGUUGCCUUGGGCUACAAACUGUUUCUAAACAACUGACUUCCUCUUCUUUGCUCGGGGUAGGAGUCUAUCUUCUUACUGCUGAGCCUAGGAGAAAACCCAGGUGUCUUUUGGGCUAAGGCAUCAGUAGCACAUCUGGAUUUGGGACCCCAUUCCAGCAGCACGAGGAACUUCAUUCUGUAAACAGAUAUUUAUUGUGCACCUGUGAUGGGCCAAACAGUCUUCUGGGUGCGAAGGAUACAACCGGGAAAACCAUUUCCUCUUUUCUUGGUGCUUGCAUUCUUGUGGGAGAGACAAAUGAAUAAUUAAUGCCAAGGAGUGGGAAAUAUGAAUAAGGAAAAAAAAAAAGGGUAGGAGAAGGGAAGGCCUCCUGAGGUGAUAUUUCAGCCAAGACCUGAAUGAGGGAGCAAGCCAUAAGGACCUGGAGGCAUUAGCAGGAUGGACAGGACCAACGAUCUGUGCAAAGGCCAUGAGGCUGAGUGGUGUCUGAGGAAUGUCACAAGGCCAGUGAGGAGGGGAAGUGUAAGAGGAAUUAAGAUCCAGCAGCUCCUGGGAGGUCAGACUAUGUGAGCCUCUUCACAGGGGAGGCUUCAGCUUACACACCUGGGUAGGUGGCACACUCUGCACAGUCUGGAUCAGCAAUCCAACACAAUCUGCUUAACUCUGAAAAAUCUCUUUGGCUACAAAGAGAACAGGCUACAGGGAAAAGAGGGUGGAAGCAGCGUUAAUUAGAAGCCUAUCCAGAUAAGAGAUAAUUGCAGCAGAGGAAGGGGAGAGGCACUGUCAGGGUAAGCCAAGAGGACUUGCUGAUGGAUUGGAUGGUGGGUACGAGAGAAACAGCAAUUGAGGAGGAUUCCCCAGUUUUCAGCCUCGGAACUUAAGAAUGGAGUUUGCAUUUACUAGGAGGGAAGUCUCUCAGGGGAGCACAUUUCACGACAUGGGACCAAGUGAGCUCCCUUCAGGGCUGAGUGUGUGGAGAGGAGGCUAGAGGCUGAACCCCUGAGUGCUCCAGGUUCGAGGCUGGGAAGCUGAGGACACUGUAGCAAGGGAGGCCAAGAAGGAGAGGCCAGGGAGGUGGGAGAGCAGAGAGCUGUCCACAGUGCAGGUGGAAAGACUCAACCAGGUGAUUAUUUGCAUCCAAUGCUACUGAUAGGAUUGGGCAACCCAGGCCAUUGAAACCUUGGUAAGGAAACUUUUGGUAGGAUUGUGAGGAAGAAACUGGAAGGGACUGGGCAGAAGUGAAGAUGGGGAACACAAAGCUCUUUGGAAGAUUUUUGCUGUAAGGGGAGCAGACAAGGCAUGGCAGCUGAAGGGAACCUGGAAGUCUAUGGUCUUUAAUAUUGAGCUUAUCCACUUGGGAUGCAUGUAAGUGGGUGGGAAAGUCCCGGCAGAGGAGAGAACCCACAGUACAGGAGAGCGGGUGACUGUAGGAGCAAAGCCCUCAAGGAGUGGAGAGGGAUGGGCCCAGGGAUGUGAGCAGGGUGGGGGAUUUAUUGCCACAAAAGGGAAGACUGAGGAUAUGGUGUCAGACACAGACGAGCUGAGAGUUCACCCCUCACCCUCUCAUAGGACUGGGCCAGAACCUAAGAGGGCCAGAAGCAGGGGUCCAAGUCUACCUGUCCCGCCACCUCCACUGAAGCUCCCUGGCCCCCAGCACUGCAGAGCCCCUGCCCUGCAGCCCUCGUCUGGCUGCGCUCUGGGAAGGCCUUAUGGGCACUUCAUCCUGCUCUGCAGCCACAUUCACGACCUGGGUCUAGUUCACACUAGGUAUGAUUUGCUUCUCCUGCCUUCCCUCUCACCAACACCGCUAUCGCCUCAUUUAGGAGGCAGGCAUGAUUUUCAUUUUCUAGGCUCAGAGAGUUUGAGCAGGGCCACACAGCUGGGUCCCAGACCCUCUCCACGUGAGCUCAUCUGGGCACAGGGCUUGGGGAACCCAAGACUGAGGCCAGUGACAGCAGGCUCUGCAUGGCCAUCCACUCCUAUGGGGGUGUACCUGCAGGGCAAGUAUGCCAACUGCUGUCCCUUCUGCAAGGCUUCACCUCUGGGCACUUUUUUUUUUUUUUUUUUUGACGGUCUCAUUCUGUCGCCCAGGCUGGAGUGUUGUGGUGCAAUCUUGGCUCACUGCAGCCUCUGCCUUCCAGGUUCAAGUGAUUCUUGUGCCUCAGCUUCUUGAGCAGCUGAGAUUACAGGCACACACCACCAUGCCCUGCUAAUUUUUUGUAGUUUUUAGUAGAGACAGCGUUUCACCGAGUUGCCUAGGCUGGUCUCAAACUCUUGAGCUAGGCAAUCCGCCUGCCUUGGCCUUCCCAAGUGCUAGGACUACAGGCGUGAGCCACCGUGCCCGGCCACCUCUGGCCACUUCUUCAUGGCAGAGGCUGUGUGUGCAAGUCUGGCUUGGAAGCCUGUGGAAGAACCAGGUGCCCAGGGAACAGUGGCUACCACUGCUUUCCAUCUCUAAGUCAAGGGCUGGCAGAAAAGGGAACUUCAUAGAUGGACCUCAGCCCCAGCCCCUCCACCUGCAGAGGCAAAGACCCCUCGGCUCAGACUUCACCAACCUGGAGCAGGGGAGAGAAGCUAAAUUCUGACCUUUGAUCAGAAGUGGGGAAGCCACUCUCAACAUGUCACUGCCUUAGGUGAGAUUUGGGGAUGCUGGGUUCCUGGGGGAAAAAGGGCUUUUGGUGUGGAAAUGGCAUCUCUUUCCUGUUUCUGACCUCUGCCUGCCUCAUGCCAGGUGAGACACCUUCAUGCCUGUUUCCAUGAUUGAGAACAUGGGAGUGUGCUUGUUUCUGCCCAUGUUCCUGGCAGAUAUUCACCAGAGUUGGGCUGCACUUGUGGAGAAGGGGCUGGGCAGCUCCUGCAGCACAGUGAGGGGCACAGAAGCCCAAGGCAGUCGAGAUUCCAUUAAAAAACAAGAUUAACUUGGAAGGGGAAGAAGGUAGAGGGAAGGGUUGGUACCAAGGCUCCCUAAAUCCAUGCUGGACAAAAACCCUUCUGCUGUGGGGUGAGAUGAGAGAAAAUGCCUCCAGGAAGCUGAGGUCCGCGGGGCAGAACUUGACCUCCUUUCGUCCACUGUCCCCUCCAGAAGAGGGAAGGCACCCCGAGAAACAGAGGCCUCUUCUUGUCAGAAGCCCACUCUCCAGCUUCCCUCUGCUCCUGCUCCUGGACCUUUGAUCUCAACUUUAGAUACUUGAGAUCCUAAAGACAUGGCCACCUCCUGUAUCACCACUUCCAGCGGUCUGAGAUUCAGCCUGAACCCGGGCUCAGGCACUCGCUCCCACUCCCGAUCCAGCUCCAGCACCUCAGCAGGGCCACCUCACUGUGCCAGGUGCUGACACGCAUGUUCCUUUUUUCUUCUUUUUUAGAGACAUGGAUUGCUUCCUUUAGAGAGGCCCUCUUACUCUCACCAAAGAAGACAAUCCACGUCUCUAAAAAAGAAAAAGGGAGGACACUAAAAGGGACAGCCCAAUCCACGUCACUGUGUGGCCCAGGCCAAGCUUUGAACUCCUGGGCUCAAGUGAUCCUCCUGCCUUGGCCUCUGGAGUGACCGGGACUACAGGCUGAGCCAGCACACCCAGUUUUCAUGUUCUUACGUAACCUGCUUCACAGCUCUGCAAGGCGGCCACUUCACCUCUCUUCGUUAGAUGAAACUGAAGUUCAAUAACUUGUCCAAGCUAAGCCAGUGGACAGAAGAUAGAGCCAUUCAAACCCUCAUGCGUUUUAUUUCCCAAGUGCCAUGCUCUCUCUACCACCAGGGAGGUCCCAUAAAAAGACACUUGCACAGCACUUUACAGUCUACAGGCCUCUGUGCUAACAUGGUCUCAUUCAAUCCAAUAAAGUGAAACAGGCCAGAAAGUGUCCUCCUGUAGCCAGGCUGGAUGGUGACGUCUCUGAAUUCUAACUUUAGUGUUUCAGGGCUUUUCUAGAGAGACAGGGUCUUACUGUCACACAGGCUGGAGUACAGUGGUGUGAUUAUGGCUCACUGCAGCCUCAAACUCCUGGGCUCAAGCGAUCCUCUCACCUCAGCCUCGAGCAGCUGAGACCACAGAUGUGUACCACCAUGCCAAGCUUCCUGUGGCUGCCUUCUAAGCCCGUGUGCCUGGAAUCAGAUGGGUGGGCCUGAUGGAGGGCAUGGCAGGACAGGCAGGUAUGGACAGAAGCCUUACCCCACA